CAUGCCAAUAGUAGAGAAAUAUGUGAUCAUGAGAGAAUUCUCAUACAUGACACCAUCUAUCUAGCUAGCAAUUGUCUGAAUGUAAUACAGUAACCUGAAGAUGUGUUCUCGCUUUUUUGCUUCAAUCAUAUUUUGUGUCUUCUUCCAAUAGCAGCCAUCUAUAGAUACGAGUGUCAUUUAAACGUGAUACGUGAAGUCAAAGCCGAUGUUUUAUUUUGUUACAAUUAGUCUGAAUUUUGUAUCACAUAUCUCAUCAACCUAGCUAAUAGAUCAUACAUUAAGGGAUGCCUCUUCAACAAUAUGUUAUUCAAAAUGCC
Molecule: long non-coding RNA, 317 nt
Filed under: Hordeum vulgare
Lineage: Eukaryota; Viridiplantae; Streptophyta; Magnoliopsida; Poales; Poaceae
Description: long non-coding RNA (HVUL_LNC012959)
Source: RNAcentral